This 433-nucleotide ribosomal RNA is filed under the name uncultured bacterium. RNAcentral describes it as "partial 16S ribosomal RNA". It matches the Rfam family "Bacterial small subunit ribosomal RNA", at positions 28 to 507 of the family's 1533-position model. The record is from RNAcentral.
GACGAACGCUGGCGGCAGGCUUAACACAUGCAAGUCGAACGGAUACUUCGGGAUUAGUGGCUGCGGCGUGAGUACCGCGUGGGUUCGUACCCUUUGCUUCGGUAUCACUUAGGGAACCUUGCGCUUACAACGUAAGUGCCUUACGGGGCAAAGAUUUAUCGGUAAAGGAUUGGCCCGCGUGCGAUUAGCUAGAUGGUGGGGUAAUGGCCUACCAAAGCGACGAUCCUUAGCUGGUCUGAGAGGGUGAUCAGCCACACUGGGACUGAGACACGGCCCAGACUCCUACGGGAGGCAGCAGUGGGGAAUAUUGGACAAUGGGCGCAAGCCUGAUCCAGCCACGCCGCGUGAGUGAUGAAGGAAUUAGGAUUGUAAAGCUCUGUCACCGGUGAAGAUAAUGACGGUAGCCGAAGAAAAAGCCCCGGCUAACUACGUG